AGUGAACGCUGGCGGUAGGCCUAACACAUGCAAGUCGAACGGCAGCACAGUAAGAGCUUGCCCUUACGGGUGGCGAGUGGCGGACGGGUGACGCAUACAUCGGAAUCUACUUUUUCUUGGGGGACAACGUAGGGACACUUACGCUAAUACCGCAUACGACCUACGGGUGAAAGCAGGGGAUCUUCAGACCUUUGGUGACUGAUAUAGCCGGUGUCGGAUUAGCUAGUUGGCGUGGUAAAGUCCCACCAAGGCGACGAUACGUAGCUGGUCUGAGAGGAUGAUCAGCCACACUGGAACUGAGACACGGUCCAGACUCCUACGGGAGGCAGCAGUAGGGAAUAUUGGACAAUGGGCGCAAGCCUGAUCCAGCCAUACCGCGUGAGUGAUGAAGGUCUUCGGGUUGUAAAGCCCUUUUGUUGGGAAAGAAAAACUGCAGGAGAAACCACCGCUGUUCUGACGGUACCUAAUGAGUAAGCACCGGCUAACUUCGUG
RNAcentral lists this ribosomal RNA (492 nucleotides) under uncultured bacterium. RNAcentral describes it as "partial 16S ribosomal RNA". It matches the Rfam family "Bacterial small subunit ribosomal RNA", at positions 29 to 507 of the family's 1533-position model. The record is from RNAcentral.